UUAAGCGACUAAGCGUACACGGUGGAUGCCCUGGCAGUCAGAGGCGAUGAAGGACGUGCUAAUCUGCGAUAAGCGUCGGUAAGGUGAUAUGAACCGUUAUAACCGGCGAUUUCCGAAUGGGGAAACCCAGUGUGUUUCGACACACUAUCAUUAACUGAAUCCAUAGGUUAAUGAGGCGAACCGGGGGAACUGAAACAUCUAAGUACCCCGAGGAAAAGAAAUCAACCGAGAUUCCCCCAGUAGCGGCGAGCGAACGGGGAGCAGCCCAGAGCCUGAAUCAGUAUGUGUGUUAGUGGAAGCGUCUGGAAAGGCGCGCGAUACAGGGUGACAGCCCCGUACACAAAAAUGCACAUAUUGUGAGCUCGAUGAGUAGGGCGGGACACGUGGUAUCCUGUCUGAAUAUGGGGGGACCAUCCUCCAAGGCUAAAUACUCCUGACUGACCGAUAGUGAACCAGUACCGUGAGGGAAAGGCGAAAAGAACCCCGGCGAGGGGAGUGAAAAAGAACCUGAAACCGUGUACGUACAAGCAGUGGGAGCACGCUUAGGCGUGUGACUGCGUACCUUUUGUAUAAUGGGUCAGCGACUUAUAUUCUGUAGCAAGGUUAACCGAAUAGGGGAGCCGAAGGGAAACCGAGUCUUAACUGGGCGUUAAGUUGCAGGGUAUAGACCCGAAACCCGGUGAUCUAGCCAUGGGCAGGUUGAAGGUUGGGUAACACUAACUGGAGGACCGAACCGACUAAUGUUGAAAAAUUAGCGGAUGACUUGUGGCUGGGGGUGAAAGGCCAAUCAAACCGGGAGAUAGCUGGUUCUCCCCGAAAGCUAUUUAGGUAGCGCCUCGUGAAUUCAUCUCCGGGGGUAGAGCACUGUUUCGGCAAGGGGGUCAUCCCGACUUACCAACCCGAUGCAAACUGCGAAUACCGGAGAAUGUUAUCACGGGAGACACACGGCGGGUGCUAACGUCCGUCGUGAAGAGGGAAACAACCCAGACCGCCAGCUAAGGUCCCAAAGUCAUGGUUAAGUGGGAAACGAUGUGGGAAGGCCCAGACAGCCAGGAUGUUGGCUUAGAAGCAGCCAUCAUUUAAAGAAAGCGUAAUAGCUCACUGGUCGAGUCGGCCUGCGCGGAAGAUGUAACGGGGCUAAACCAUGCACCGAAGCUGCGGCAGCGACACUAUGUGUUGUUGGGUAGGGGAGCGUUCUGUAAGCCUGUGAAGGUGUGCUGUGAGGCAUGCUGGAGGUAUCAGAAGUGCGAAUGCUGACAUAAGUAACGAUAAAGCGGGUGAAAAGCCCGCUCGCCGGAAGACCAAGGGUUCCUGUCCAACGUUAAUCGGGGCAGGGUGAGUCGACCCCUAAGGCGAGGCCGAAAGGCGUAGUCGAUGGGAAACAGGUUAAUAUUCCUGUACUUGGUGUUACUGCGAAGGGGGGACGGAGAAGGCUAUGUUGGCCGGGCGACGGUUGUCCCGGUUUAAGCGUGUAGGCUGGUUUUCCAGGCAAAUCCGGAAAAUCAAGGCUGAGGCGUGAUGACGAGGCACUACGGUGCUGAAGCAACAAAUGCCCUGCUUCCAGGAAAAGCCUCUAAGCAUCAGGUAACAUCAAAUCGUACCCCAAACCGACACAGGUGGUCAGGUAGAGAAUACCAAGGCGCUUGAGAGAACUCGGGUGAAGGAACUAGGCAAAAUGGUGCCGUAACUUCGGGAGAAGGCACGCUGAUAUGUAGGUGAAGUCCCUCGCGGAUGGAGCUGAAAUCAGUCGAAGAUACCAGCUGGCUGCAACUGUUUAUUAAAAACACAGCACUGUGCAAACACGAAAGUGGACGUAUACGGUGUGACGCCUGCCCGGUGCCGGAAGGUUAAUUGAUGGGGUUAGCCGCAAGGCGAAGCUCUUGAUCGAAGCCCCGGUAAACGGCGGCCGUAACUAUAACGGUCCUAAGGUAGCGAAAUUCCUUGUCGGGUAAGUUCCGACCUGCACGAAUGGCGUAAUGAUGGCCAGGCUGUCUCCACCCGAGACUCAGUGAAAUUGAACUCGCUGUGAAGAUGCAGUGUACCCGCGGCAAGACGGAAAGACCCCGUGAACCUUUACUAUAGCUUGACACUGAACAUUGAGCCUUGAUGUGUAGGAUAGGUGGGAGGCUUAGAAGUGUGGACGCCAGUCUGCAUGGAGCCGACCUUGAAAUACCACCCUUUAAUGUUUGAUGUUCUAACGUUGACCCGUAAUCCGGGUUGCGGACAGUGUCUGGUGGGUAGUUUGACUGGGGCGGUCUCCUCCUAAAGAGUAACGGAGGAGCACGAAGGUUGGCUAAUCCUGGUCGGACAUCAGGAGGUUAGUGCAAUGGCAUAAGCCAGCUUGACUGCGAGCGUGACGGCGCGAGCAGGUGCGAAAGCAGGUCAUAGUGAUCCGGUGGUUCUGAAUGGAAGGGCCAUCGCUCAACGGAUAAAAGGUACUCCGGGGAUAACAGGCUGAUACCGCCCAAGAGUUCAUAUCGACGGCGGUGUUUGGCACCUCGAUGUCGGCUCAUCACAUCCUGGGGCUGAAGUAGGUCCCAAGGGUAUGGCUGUUCGCCAUUUAAAGUGGUACGCGAGCUGGGUUUAGAACGUCGUGAGACAGUUCGGUCCCUAUCUGCCGUGGGCGCUGGAGAACUGAGGGGGGCUGCUCCUAGUACGAGAGGACCGGAGUGGACGCAUCACUGGUGUUCGGGUUGUCAUGCCAAUGGCACUGCCCGGUAGCUAAAUGCGGAAGAGAUAAGUGCUGAAAGCAUCUAAGCACGAAACUUGCCCCGAGAUGAGUUCUCCCUGACUCCUUGAGAGUCCUGAAGGAACGUUGAAGACGACGACGUUGAUAGGCCGGGUGUGUAAGCGCAGCGAUGCGUUGAGCUAACCGGUACUAAUGAACCGUGAGGCUUAACCU
This 2902-nucleotide ribosomal RNA is filed under the name Escherichia coli. RNAcentral's name for it is "23S ribosomal RNA". It matches the Rfam family "Bacterial large subunit ribosomal RNA". Lineage: Bacteria; Pseudomonadati; Pseudomonadota; Gammaproteobacteria; Enterobacterales; Enterobacteriaceae. The record is from RNAcentral.